This 456-nucleotide ribosomal RNA is filed under the name uncultured bacterium. RNAcentral describes it as "bacterial SSU rRNA". It matches the Rfam family "Bacterial small subunit ribosomal RNA", at positions 340 to 786 of the family's 1533-position model. The record is from RNAcentral.
UACGGGAGGCAGCAGUGGGGAAUAUUGCACAAUGGGCGAAAGCCUGAUGCAGCUAUGCCGCGUGUAUGAAGAAGGCCUUAGGGUUGUAAAGUACUUUCAUCGGGGAGGAAAAAACAAAACUAAUAAUUUUAUUUCUUGACGUUACCCGAAAAAGAAGCACCGGCUAACUCCGUGCCAGCAGCCGCGGUAAUACGGAGGGUGCUAGCGUUAAUCAGAAUUACUGGGCGUAAAGAGCACGUAGGUGGUUUUUUUAAAGUCAGAUGUGAAAUCCCUGGGCUUAACCUAGGAACUGCAUUUUGAAACUGAAAUACUAGAGUAUCGUAGAGGGAGGUAGAAUUCUAGGUGUAGCGGUGAAAUGCGUAGAUAUCUGGAGGAAUACCUGUGGCGAAAGCGGCCUCCUAAACGAAUACUGACACUGAGUGCGAAAGCGUGGGGAGCAAACAGGGAUUAGAUACC